CAGCGCACAGAGACUAUCACAGACAUUUGCAGAGCUUUUUUGAGAUGUUAUAGUAAUAAAAUAAUGACUUGGAUUGCAUUAUUAAGGAGUUUGGUGAUAAAAUGAGUGAUCAGGAGAUGAUCGAUCGAUAAGAAUUGGGCUAAUGACGAUUUGGAGCAAACUAAACUGGCUGCCAGGUUCCUAAAAAAAAUUCACAGGGAGCUACAUAUUUCACGGAAAUAAUGAAAUCUGUGAUAAGCCUACAGUGGCCAGCAGCGAUCUGAAACCAAGAAUCAGGAGAAGGACAUGGAGUAAAAAUGUCUGCUGAAUCCGAGGGCCUUUUACCCUGGACUAGAAAACACAUCUUAAAUACCUGGAGUUUCACAGAAAGACCGUGACGUUCAAACAGAG
Molecule: long non-coding RNA, 390 nt
Organism: Acipenser ruthenus (sterlet)
Lineage: Eukaryota; Metazoa; Chordata; Actinopteri; Acipenseriformes; Acipenseridae
Exons: 4
Source: RefSeq, a predicted model, not a curated record